AUAGCCCUACCCUUCCUUUGUCCAAGAAUAAUCAGUCUACUAUUACGAUUAUAAAGAUGAAGUCGUUAGCUUUCGUUCUACUUAUUGUCUGCAUAGUUGGAAGUGUGACGUCAAAAUCUCUGGAGUCCAAAUCACUUCUAGAUUCCAUCCUCGGACAUCAUGGAGGCUGUUUCGGACCACUAGUGGACUGCUUUGCUGAUCCAUGCAUGAUGUCGACAUGUUCGAAUACGAAUGCAAUGAAAUGCGUUUCUAACUUCUGUGGCGGGUGUAAUGCUGACUGGUACGACAUAAGCGGGAACAAAGUUAGCUGCUAGGAGUUGAUCGGGUGUAACCACUACUGAUCGUCGAACCAAGUUUACUGGCACAACGAAGAACAUUAACAAAUUUAAAUUGUCACCAUUGCUACUUGGUAUUAAAAAGCAUCUCAAAAAGCAAA
Long non-coding RNA from Mizuhopecten yessoensis (Yesso scallop), 436 nucleotides. RefSeq lists it as uncharacterized. The transcript is spliced from 4 exons. The record is from RefSeq and is a predicted model, not a curated record. Lineage: Eukaryota; Metazoa; Mollusca; Bivalvia; Pectinida; Pectinidae.